This is a long non-coding RNA of Balaenoptera musculus (blue whale), 2425 nucleotides long. RefSeq lists it as uncharacterized. The transcript has 3 exons. NCBI's taxonomy places the organism in Eukaryota, Metazoa, Chordata, Mammalia, Artiodactyla, Balaenopteridae. The record is from RefSeq and is a predicted model, not a curated record.
CCCUCCCAGGGUGGUCUUCAUUCCCUGUGAUUUUCCCAUCUCUGGUGGUCGCUCCUCGAUCCAGCACUUCCCUCCACUCUCCAUUCAGUCUCCCCUGCCUGGAAGAGGAGGGCUCAAGCACCCCUGGGGCAUCUCUUGGCUUGUUCGGGUGUCAGCACCCUGACCUGGGACUAGUGUCCUUACUCUCUGGGAUGCCUUCCUCUGCAGGUCCCAAGACUCCCAAGGCGACCAGAUUCAGUGUCCUCAGUCCUCCUCCUCCUGACCCUACCAACCACAUCACCCUGCUUGAGACCCUCUCUUCCCUCAGUGCUUCUUUCCUGGGUCUUUUCUUCCUCUUACCUUCUACACAGACUUCUUUCUCCCCCAUCGCCCCUAACGUGAGGGCUUCCUGAGGCUCCUAGCCCAGUCUUCGUUCUCCAUCGCGUCCCUAAGGUGUUCCAUCUAUGCUCAGAUUCCUGCUCUGUGCCCAGCACCUCCACACCUGGGGCUCUGGUCCAGGCCUUUUUGAAUAUCUCUUCCUGGACAUCCCCACCUGGAUGUCACACAGCUACCUCAAACCCAACGCAGACAACACAAAACUCGUCCUCUCCAUUUUCAGUCCUCCAUCAGGACCUCCCCAGGGAGCUACCUUCACUCCUGUUGUGGUUCUUACUGAGUCAUCCAGGGGCAGAAAUUUGGGUCUCUCUGGCAAGCCCUCUCCAGCCCCCCAUCCUCCGGAGAGAGUCUUGCCUGUAGGCCAACCUCUCCUAUGCCCUCUGCUCCCUCCCCCAGUUUGGCAAUAACAACUUGUUUGGGUCUCCUGUUCCCAUUUUCUUCCCAGUGCUACCCUGGUUACCAGAGUUACCUUCUUUUUCCUUUUUUGAAAAUCACUCAAGCAUUUAUUUUAAGCAUUCUGAAAAAUUGGUAUGAGAAAUGUUUUCCUUCAACAAGUAUGGAUGCAUAGCUUCACGUGAACAUCAAAGACGUGUAUUUUGGAGUCUGUUAACAUUGUAAGCUCCCUAAGCAGUGAAGGACCAGUCCACCCUCUCCUCUGCAACUUCUUCUAGCACUUAGGGCUUAUGAAAUAUAAUGAUUUCUUGGAGCAAAGAGUAAUUUUACUGACCAAAUAAAGGUAAUCGUCCCACUUCCCACUGAGAAAUAUACACAUAUGGAAUUCAUUAUUCCAAGAGUUCCUACUGGCAGAAAAAAAAUCUAAAUGUAUUCAAAAGCCCUGGAGAAAGGUAUGCCGGAGACAAGGUUGGUUUCUAAGACACACACUCCUGAAAAAAAAGAGAGAGAAGGAUGGACUUAAUUCUUAAUGCUGAUCUACAGGGUGAGAUGUCCAUGUGUAGGAAGUUUUUACAUGAGACCAACUGAUGGAGUGCCUUUCCCACAGCAUAACAUAGUGCUGGCUCAUAUGUUUAUGCAUUCACUCAACCUGUAUUUAAGCAUGUACAUGAUCCAGCUAGAGUUCCUGGAGUUGCUUUUCUAGUAGUGAUAACAACUUCAGCCCAACAGCCCUGACCUCUGGACCCAGACCUGAGACCACAAGGCGCCUACUGGGGUUGGGCUGCUGCCUGUGGCCGUGAGCCACUAAGGAAAUGACCCAUGACCUAGACAUCAUCGACUCCCUGCUCUAAUUCACCAGCACAAACAUCACUUAGAAUGUCAUUCUGAAGAGCUGACAUUGUUGGCUGACCUACCAUGGAAGGGAGGCAUCAGCAACUGCCACGGUGACUUCAUGACAAAUGCCUUCCCUCACUCCUUCUUGCCCCAAGAAUUAGGUUCCUUGAUUUAUUUUCAAAAAUUUUUAUGCAGCAAAAUUAGAAAGUGCACAGUACCUUUGUUACAAAUAUACUUUCUCAUCUAGGCACAGAAUACCAGGAAGCGGCCUUGAAAUUAUUUUCGAAGAUCUAAGGAAAAUAUAUUUUUGUGCAAGUGUACUUGCUACAGUCUCAGUGGUUAUCAAACUUGAGGUGCACCCCAAUCUCCUGGAAGGCUUGUGAAAACACAGAUUGCUGGGCCCCACUCCCAGUUUCUGAUUUAAAGCAAAAGGGGAACCUUCUCCAAUCUUCACAUGAGACGCUGAGGGGCUCCUGGAAGUAAUAAAAGUGUUGGGAAUCCCCACGACUGUCCCCUCCAGAGUUUUUUGCUCUCAAGCUUGUCUAUGUUGAGCUUCCAGCAAUUUGUCAAUUAUAGUUUGUGUUCCUAUCAGUACUGGCUCCAGCUGCAAGCUUCUGGUCCUGGGAUUCUCCUGGUAAGAUAUGGUUCUCUGUAUCCAUCUGUUUCUCUAGUUUUCAGGGAAACAGUUUGCCCUAUGAUGUCAAUUCUCUGGAUCUAAAAAGAGUUGUUGAUUUCCAGUUCGUUUAGCUUUUUUCUUGUGCGAGAAUGAGGGUGAUGACUUCUAAACUCUCUACAUAAUAUCCCAAAGUGCAAAUAACCCAAA